AAGUCGUAACAAGGUUUCCGUAGGUGAACCUGCGGAAGGAUCAUUACAGUAGUCACCCGGGUUGCCGCAAGGCCUCUCGGGUAACCUACCACCCUUUGUUUAUUACACUUUGUUGCUUUGGCAGGCCUGCCUUCGGGCUGCUGGCUCCGGCCGGCGAGCGCUUGCCAGAGGAUCUAAACUCUGUUUGUCUAUACUGUCUGAGUACUAUAUAAUAGUUAAAACUUUCAACAACGGAUCUCUUGGUUCUG
Molecule: unclassified non-coding RNA, 248 nt
Filed under: Pseudogymnoascus appendiculatus
Lineage: Eukaryota; Fungi; Ascomycota; Leotiomycetes; Thelebolales; Thelebolaceae
Description: partial internal transcribed spacer region
Rfam family: Eukaryotic small subunit ribosomal RNA (bases 1-46)
Source: RNAcentral